UUUGUUUGUGUAAGGAGGAGAUAGUCAUCUUGACGUCAAUCAAAGGAGUAUUGAUGGAUGAAACCACAACCCUAGAUGAGGUACUCUGCCUUCUCUCACUCUUGUUGGUCUUUGACUCUAUUGAUUUUUUUUCUACAAUUCUGACAUGUGAGUAGCAAAAAUGUACUUAAUUUAGUUUGGAUGUGCUGAUGGCAUAACUAUAGUCUAUUUUAUUAUACUGGACAUUUAUUCAUGCAUAAUUGCAGGUCUUUGGCAUAUUUUAAAAACUCGACAAAUUCACAUAAAUUUAAUCUCAAAAUCUAAUGUUGUAUGUGAUUGGUAGCUUCAAAUUCACCGAUAAUUGAAUUUAAUUACACGUGUCAGUGUAGUGUCGAUGCUACGGUGCUCUGUAAUUUAGUUUGUCAUAUAAAUGAUCAAAGUUUUUGUACCCAUAUAUUAUUUUUAGGAAUAUUUCAUUCUUUAAUUUGUUGCACAUAUUGAAAGGAAAAGACUUUAGGUUAAAAAAGUGAUCAAAAGAAGCAAUGUUUCAAGCAUCUACUAGUACAAAUUAGGGCAAUCAAUAUGCUAAUCUCUUGAAGUCAAUCACUAUAUGGUGACUAAAAAAAAUUGGAUUAGUACCAUAUUAAUCAGUAUACUCUUUUUAUGGCGAAAUCACACUGGAUGAGAAUCAUAUUAAUCAGUAUACUCUUUUUAAGCAUCUACUGUAUAUGGCGAAAUUUACAGGCACAAAGUACUCAGAAGUAGGGAAUCUCGGGUUCGAACUCACGCCUUCUACACAUCAGGCACACAUAAACUACUCUCCAUCUGUGAACCUUUUUCCCUGAAUAAUUAAUGGGUCAAGCAACGGCUCAGUUAAUUGUUUGGUUUUGCAGAGUAUUAAAGAUGUAUGAAACCAUUAAUCAGGGGACACUUUUGCUGGUAAUUAAUAAGUAAUACUUGGCUUUUUUGCAGCAUAGAGUCGUUGGAUAUGUCCAUAGCUACAUAGAAUAGAGUGAACCGAAUUUGGCUUUGAGUUUGAUUAGAGUAGUUGGAUAUGAGCAAACACUUUGCUCCUUAAUGUAGCGUCCUCCUUCAUUCACUCCUUUGUUUUUCUAUAUUUCUUUUGGACGUUCCAAUUUUUUGAAUAUGGGAUGAUAAAAGCAGAUUCAACUCUUCUUGAUCUCAACUCU
Molecule: long non-coding RNA, 1169 nt
Filed under: Trifolium pratense (red clover)
Lineage: Eukaryota; Viridiplantae; Streptophyta; Magnoliopsida; Fabales; Fabaceae
Description: long non-coding RNA (TPRA_LNC001960)
Source: RNAcentral